AUUGAACGCUGGCGGCAUGCUUUACACAUGCAAGUCGAACGGUAACAGGCCGCAAGGUGCUGACGAGUGGCGAACGGGUGAGUAAUGCAUCGGAACGUGCCCAGUCGUGGGGGAUAACUACUCGAAAGAGUAGCUAAUACCGCAUACGAUCUAUGGAGGAAGCCGGGGGACGGAAGGGCUCCCCGCGAUUGGGCCGCCCGAUGUCAGAUUAGGUAGUUGGUGGGGUAAAGGCUCACCAAGCCAACGAUCUGUAGCUGGUCUGAGAGGACGACCAGCCACACUGGGACUGAGACACGGCCCAGACUCCUACGGGAGGCAGCAGUGGGGAAUUUUGGACAAUGGGCGCAAGCCUGAUCCAGCAAUGCCGCGUGCAGGAAGAAGGCCUUCGGGUUGUAAACUGCUUUUGUACGGAACGAAACGGCUCUGGUUAAUACCCGGGGCUAAUGACGGUACCGUAAGAAUAAGCACCGGCUAACUACGUG
This 482-nucleotide ribosomal RNA is filed under the name uncultured bacterium. RNAcentral's name for it is "partial 16S ribosomal RNA". It matches the Rfam family "Bacterial small subunit ribosomal RNA", at positions 30 to 507 of the family's 1533-position model. The record is from RNAcentral.